This is a long non-coding RNA of Amblyraja radiata (thorny skate), 272 nucleotides long. RefSeq lists it as uncharacterized. NCBI's taxonomy places the organism in Eukaryota, Metazoa, Chordata, Chondrichthyes, Rajiformes, Rajidae. The record is from RefSeq and is a predicted model, not a curated record. The transcript is spliced from 2 exons.
AUUAUGUGACGAAUACAAGGUCACUGCUUUACCAACAUUCAUCUAUAUCAAGGACGGAAAACAGGUAUCCAGUGUUGUUGGAGGAAAAGCGAGUGAAGUUGAGAAACUAAUCCAGCAACAUAGAGGGAUGCAACAGCAGCAAUGCUCUGGUCAUGCCCCGCAAUAAAUACUUUCAGCACCUGCCCCUGCUGUGAAAUGGCUGGAACAAUAUGAAAGCUAUUAAUGCACUAUGUGAUCCAUGAUGUAAAAUAAUAAAAGUGCUGCACAUGAUG